This is a long non-coding RNA of Trachemys scripta elegans, 466 nucleotides long. RefSeq lists it as uncharacterized. The record is from RefSeq and is a predicted model, not a curated record. Lineage: Eukaryota; Metazoa; Chordata; Testudines; Emydidae. The transcript is spliced from 2 exons.
CACACAGAGGGAACACACACACGCAGCCGACUGUUAUCAACAUUGAACAGAGCAGAGCACCACACCGGUGACGUCUGACGACAUUGGUGACCCCGACCGCUGAUCUGACCAAAGACACCAGAAAAUAUCACACCCUGAAGACACCAGAAAAUAUUAGUAUACAGUGAAGAAAUCCCCAAGCAUCAAGAAAAGAAAAAUGAAGUGCUGCAUAAGUAAGAGACUGGUCAAAUACACCUCUGUCUACCAUAUAUGAACAAUUAAGUUAACAAUCAGCUAAAAACAACUUGCUGGACCAGGAUAAACUGUCAUUUAAUUUCAACUUGGUUACUGGGUAAAAACAACUAUAAUAUCGUUGUACUGUUGUAUUAUUGCUGUACAACAUUUACAAUGUGCAUAACCUUGCUAAACUGUUGAACCAACUCACAGGUAAAACUCAACAAAGGAAUGGCAGCAAACAACAUGAAGG